This 438-nucleotide ribosomal RNA is filed under the name uncultured Pseudomonadota bacterium. Its description in RNAcentral is "bacterial SSU rRNA". It matches the Rfam family "Bacterial small subunit ribosomal RNA", at positions 33 to 470 of the family's 1533-position model. Lineage: Bacteria; Pseudomonadati; Pseudomonadota. The record is from RNAcentral.
ACGCUGGCGGCAGGCCUAACACAUGCAAGUCGAGCGCGAAAGUCCUUCGGGAUGAGUAAAGCGGCGGACGGGUGAGUAACGCGUGGGAAUCUACCUAGUAGUGGGGGACAACAGCCGGAAACGGCUGCUAAUACCGCAUACGCCCUACGGGGGAAAGGAGGGGAUCUUCGGACCUUUCGCUAUUAGAUGAGCCCGCGUUAGAUUAGCUAGUUGGUAGGGUAAGAGCCUACCAAGGCGACGAUCUAUAGCUGGUCUGAGAGGAUGAUCAGCCACACUGGGACUGAGACACGGCCCAGACUCCUACGGGAGGCAGCAGUGGGGAAUAUUGCGCAAUGGGCGAAAGCCUGACGCAGCCAUGCCGCGUGUGUGAAGAAGGCCUUAGGGUUGUAAAGCACUUUCAAUGGGGAGGAAAGGUUGUAAGCUAAUACCUUGCAACUG